ACUGUUUUGCUGUCCAGAAGUCCGUCUAUAAUUCAUCAUAAACUAAAGGAACACAGGUCAGAUUCGGACAGCGACUUCAAAUCCAUUCGCAGAAUACGCUAAACAAUUGGACGACGGAUACACUGGAUGAUAAUGUAGAUGGUCCAGGAUUAUCUGGGAAGGAAACUACAGGUGUUGAACACAGAAAACCGUUUACAAGAAAACAACUGGAGUUUGUGAAAGCUGCAAGAAAUUAAUCUUGCCGGGUACGCAUUCACUUCACCUUGGUCGAGUGCAGCACAGUGGAUAAAUGUGUUGCUGAAGGAAAACACCAUUGCUAGGAUUCAAACCCACGACACUCUGUUGAAAGGUGAGAGUCAGAACCACUAGACCACGACGCACCCACAGUUAACAAGCUGAUGUCAUACCCCCACUUGUUCUUUUGUAUUUUAUAACAAGAAGUCAUGUUUAUUCACAUUUUGACCUCCAAGAACUAAAAAGUGGAGUGAAGAUUUAUUUAAUGUAAACGCAUGCAUUGCUUGAAAUCAUUUUAUGCUACGUGGGACAUAUCAUACACACGUGUACGAAAAUAUGAAAUUAUUAUGAUUUCAUUUUAUAACAUAAGCCUAACACAUAUUCCUGACGAUCAUGUGCACAUACCAGUAAUUUUUCCCAAAAUGUUGCUAAACCUUCAAAUCAAAGACUUUAUUAUCAGAUUUUAACGAAAUUGUCAACAUUAUGCUUUUCUGAUUAAUUCUCUUCCUACCUAAAUCUCCCCUUUCCUCAUGCUUUCUUUCUAUGGACCCUUCAUUCUCCUUAUAACUAUGUUAUAUGUAAAAUGUAACCGGUCGUCCAACCCAUUUGAUUGAAGGGCUAGGUACUCUAGACUGAAAGUUAUGUGAUUUAAAUUCAAAGAGUACAUCAGACAAAAAAAAACACUGAAAAUUUCAUCAAAAUUGAAUGAGGAUUAACGAAAUUAUGACGAAUUAAAGUUGUUAUUUUUUGGUAAAACUGUUCUCUGCAAGUCCUCAUGAAUAUACAAGAUCCCAAUUUAUAUAUUUUUUUGUAUUAUAUGAAUUCAAAUUUUGUCAAAGCUAGGUUGUAAAAAAUUACGAUUGACUACUGAUAUACUGUGUAAGACAAAAAUUAUAUUAUUUCUCACACAUAGUUGAGUUAUUCAUCUGAUUCAACAUAACAAAAAUAGACAAAAAAGAAAUAAGUGGGAAUCUUGUAUAUUUGAACUAUGGGAAAUAGUUAAAAAAAUAGAUGUGCUACUAAGAAUUAUUUU
Long non-coding RNA from Lytechinus pictus (painted urchin), 1267 nucleotides. RefSeq lists it as uncharacterized. The record is from RefSeq and is a predicted model, not a curated record. The transcript is spliced from 3 exons. NCBI's taxonomy places the organism in Eukaryota, Metazoa, Echinodermata, Echinoidea, Temnopleuroida, Toxopneustidae.